CACACCUCGCCUUGACCAUCGAUUGUUCCAUUCUCACCUGCGGAAGCAAAAUGUGAAUCAUCCAAACAAACAUAGACCAUCCUUGAUCAUCUGAGUAUUUGAACCAGGUAAUCCAUUUGUGCGAGGAAGAAAGCAAAAACAAGCUGCUUGAAAUAUGUACACAUCGUAGGUUCACCAAAGAUGGACCUCUGCAAACCAGAGUGGACUGCAAGGAUAAAGAAAUCUGCCUGAGCUGAGACCUAACUUCGAAUCCUUUGCACCGUGAAUAGCAUCCUGUGUUCGCUAUUCACUCUAAUAUCAUUUAAAAUACGAAAAUUUGUGAUUACAAAAGCGUAUAAGAACACAAAUUAGAUUCUUGAUGUAUGAAGAGCUUCUCUCUGUUUUACUGUUGCUGCCCAGGCGAGGCAUGCCCUUCUCGACAGAUGAACAUCGUCCGCUUGGGGAAAAAAUCAUUAAAUUCGAAUGUUUUCAUUAUCACAUCCUUUUUCUACAAAUAAUCAUGCAUGUAUGCCCUUUUGUUUGUUCUUAUUAUUUAUCGUUUCAGCUGCAGGGCAUAGAGAUUCGUCUCCGUCGGGUGAAAGACCUUUCAGUGCUUCCGCUAAUGUUGCCCAGGAAACAGCGCCCAUGUUGGCAUUGGACAUGGAAACCACUGUGUGUCGCCAAUGGUGCAUGUUUUGUUAAUAGAUCUCCACAAAAGAAUGUAGAAUUCAAAAGAGUGCA
This 720-nucleotide long non-coding RNA is filed under the name Musa acuminata (dwarf banana). Its description in RNAcentral is "long non-coding RNA (MACU_LNC004725)". The record is from RNAcentral. Lineage: Eukaryota; Viridiplantae; Streptophyta; Magnoliopsida; Zingiberales; Musaceae.